RNAcentral lists this ribosomal RNA (236 nucleotides) under uncultured bacterium. Its description in RNAcentral is "partial 16S ribosomal RNA". It matches the Rfam family "Bacterial small subunit ribosomal RNA", at positions 118 to 351 of the family's 1533-position model. The record is from RNAcentral.
UGAGCAAUCUGCCCUUCUCAUCGGAAUAAGCGUUGGAAACGACGUCUAAUGCCGAAUACGACCUCCUUUCGCAUGAUCGGAGGUGGAAAGCUCCGGCGGAGAAGGAUGAGCUCGCGGCCUAUCAGCUAGUUGGUGUGGGUAAUGGCCCACCAAGGCGACGACGGGUAGCCGGCCUGAGAGGGUGACCCGGCCACACUGGGACUGAGACACGGCCCAGACCUCCGUACGGGAGCCAG